RNAcentral lists this ribosomal RNA (465 nucleotides) under Vreelandella stevensii. Its description in RNAcentral is "partial 16S ribosomal RNA". It matches the Rfam family "Bacterial small subunit ribosomal RNA", at positions 338 to 795 of the family's 1533-position model. The record is from RNAcentral. Lineage: Bacteria; Pseudomonadati; Pseudomonadota; Gammaproteobacteria; Oceanospirillales; Halomonadaceae.
CCUACGGGGGGCAGCAGUGGGGAAUAUUGGACAAUGGGGGCAACCCUGAUCCAGCCAUGCCGUGUGUGUGAAGAAGGCCCUCGGGUUGUAAAGCACUUUCAGUGAGGAAGAACGCCUGGUGGUUAAUACCCAUCAGGAAAGACAUCACUCACAGAAGAAGCACCGGCUAACUCCGUGCCAGCAGCCGCGGUAAUACGGAGGGUGCGAGCGUUAAUCGGAAUUACUGGGCGUAAAGCGCGCGUAGGUGGCUUGAUAAGCCGGUUGUGAAAGCCCCGGGCUCAACCUGGGAACGGCAUCCGGAACUGUCAAGCUAGAGUGCAGGAGAGGAAGGUAGAAUUCCCGGUGUAGCGGUGAAAUGCGUAGAGAUCGGGAGGAAUACCAGUGGCGAAGGCGGCCUUCUGGACUGACACUGACACUGAGGUGCGAAAGCGUGGGUAGCAAACAGGAUUAGAUACCCCUGUAGUC